GUCAAAUCCAUGCAGUUCCAAGGAACAACGGGAUUCCAAAGAACAGUCUGGUUCCCAAGGGAACGGGACCAAAGGUUGAUCAACACACUUCCAAGGGACAGUCUUUUCCCAAGGGAGUCAGGCUGAAGCCUGCACACGUAUAGUUCUGAUGAUAGUCCAGAAGUCAGACCAAAAGCUAAGCAAUUUCAGUUGAAACAGUCUGGUUCCAAAAGGAAUUGGACCAAAGGCUAGCAUAGUUCAAAGGAAUAGCCUGAUUCAAAGGGUUAGGCUGAAGUGCCACCCAAGUGCUUACAGACAAACAAGCCCUUAACCAGAAAAGGACGAAGACUUGAAAUAGAUCUUGACUACAGCCUGGAGAGCCUCCAAUAGGGUGGAAGCUUGGAUCCAGAAAAGACUUACCUUCAAACUCCAGGGCUGACAAGAAAAGCAGCGAGCUCAAUGAGCUCUCUUGUGGGUACCACAGCAGUUUGCUCACCAGCCUUGGAGGCCUUGGGGGUCUUCCCUGGAUUCCCACAUGGACCACCAAAAUAUUGACUUUAAACAAAUAGACAACCAGUUAUUUCUCCAGAAAAAGUGGGUUUAUUCAGGAUCAGUAAAGAAUUGCAACUGAGCGUCUGCAACCGUGAGAAAGCAGCUGCAAUGGAAAGAACACGGAUGACAAAGGCAAUGUGGACACAGAGCACUCUUACAGACAGCAAGCUCUUCACGCCAAAGAGCACUCCUGGGAUUUCCAAAAAUCCCAUCAUGCUGCACUAAAUUGACUCUGACAGAGCCCGUUUAAAGAUAUUACACAUGAGGAAACCAAUGUGGCAAAAAGAGAAUGCAGACAGUCAUAUCGAGAUUACUGUCUUCACAAAAGCAGCAGGAGGAUGCAUGGGCUGAC
RNAcentral lists this long non-coding RNA (883 nucleotides) under Equus caballus (horse). Its description in RNAcentral is "lncRNA (ENSECAG00000040572.3)". The record is from RNAcentral. Lineage: Eukaryota; Metazoa; Chordata; Mammalia; Perissodactyla; Equidae.